UGCAAGUCGAGCGGAACGAGUUAACUGAACCUUCGGGGAACGUUAACGGCGUCGAGCGGCGGACGGGUGAGUAAUGCCUGGGAAAUUGCCCUGAUGUGGGGGAUAACCAUUGGAAACGAUGGCUAAUACCGCAUAAUAGCUUCGGCUCAAAGAGGGGGACCUUCGGGCCUCUCGCGUCAGGAUAUGCCCAGGUGGGAUUAGCUAGUUGGUGAGGUAAGGGCUCACCAAGGCGACGAUCCCUAGCUGGUCUGAGAGGAUGAUCAGCCACACUGGAACUGAGACACGGUCCAGACUCCUACGGGAGGCAGCAGUGGGGAAUAUUGCACAAUGGGCGCAAGCCUGAUGCAGCCAUGCCGCGUGUAUGAAGAAGGCCUUCGGGUUGUAAAGUACUUUCAGCAGUGAGGAAGGUUCAUGCGUUAAUAGCGUAUGGAUUUGACGUUAGCUGCAGAAGAAGCACCGGCUAACUCCGUGCCAGCAGCCGCGGUAAUACGGAGGGUGCGAGCGUUAAUCGGAAUUACUGGGCGUAAAGCGCAUGCAGGUGGUUUGUUAAGUCAGAUGUGAAAGCCCGGGGCUCAACCUCGGAAUUGCAUUUGAAACUGGCAGACUAGAGUACUGUAGAGGGGGGUAGAAUUUCAGGUGUAGCGGUGAAAUGCGUAGAGAUCUGAA
Molecule: ribosomal RNA, 666 nt
Filed under: bacterium SCSIO13116
Lineage: Bacteria
Description: bacterial SSU rRNA
Rfam family: Bacterial small subunit ribosomal RNA
Source: RNAcentral